This 265-nucleotide ribosomal RNA is filed under the name uncultured archaeon. RNAcentral describes it as "partial 16S ribosomal RNA". It matches the Rfam family "Archaeal small subunit ribosomal RNA", at positions 719 to 982 of the family's 1478-position model. The record is from RNAcentral.
ACACGUCUACAUUAGAUACCCGCGUAGUCCCAGCCGUAAACUAUGCGCGUUAGGUGUAUCGGUGACCACGAGUCACCGAGGUGCCGAAGGGAAACCGUGAAACGUGCCGCCUGGGAAGUACGGUCGCAAGGCUGAAAACUUAAAGGAAUUGGCGGGGAGCACCACAACAGGUGGAGCCUGCGGUUUAAUUGGACUCAACGCCGGGAAGCUCACCGGAUAGGACAGCAGAAUGAUUGCCGGGCUGAAGACCCUGCAUGACUAGCUG